GAAAGGAGCAAUCCGCUGAUAGAUGGGCUUGCGUCUGAUUAGAUAGUUGGUGGGGUAAAGGCCUACCAAGUCGACGAUCAGUAGCCGGACUGAGAGGUUGAACGGCCACAUUGGGACUGAGAUACGGCCCAGACUCCUACGGGAGGCAGCAGUCGGGAAUAUUGCGCAAUGGAGGAAACUCUGACGCAGUGACGCCGCGUGCAGGAAGAAGGUUUUCGGAUUGUAAACUGCUUUAGACAGGGAAGAUAAUGACAGUACCUGUAGAAUAAGCUCCGGCUAACUACGUGCCAGCAGCCGCGGUAAUACGUAGGGAGCAAGCGUUAUCCGGAUUUAUUGGGUGUAAAGGGUGCGUAGACGGGAAGGCAAGUUAGUUGUGAAAUCCCUCGGCUUAACUGAGGAACUGCAACUAAAACUAUCUUUCUUGAGUGCUGGAGAGGAAAGUGGAAUUCCUAGUGUAGCGGUGAAAUGCGUAGAUAUUAGGAGGAACACCAGUGGCGAAGGCGACUUUCUGGACAGUAACUGACGUUGAGGCACGAAAGUGUGGGGAGCAAACAGGAUUAGAUACCCUGGUAGUCCACACCGUAAACGA
RNAcentral lists this ribosomal RNA (589 nucleotides) under uncultured bacterium. Its description in RNAcentral is "bacterial SSU rRNA". It matches the Rfam family "Bacterial small subunit ribosomal RNA", at positions 202 to 809 of the family's 1533-position model. The record is from RNAcentral.